RNAcentral lists this ribosomal RNA (465 nucleotides) under Vreelandella stevensii. RNAcentral's name for it is "partial 16S ribosomal RNA". It matches the Rfam family "Bacterial small subunit ribosomal RNA", at positions 338 to 795 of the family's 1533-position model. The record is from RNAcentral. Lineage: Bacteria; Pseudomonadati; Pseudomonadota; Gammaproteobacteria; Oceanospirillales; Halomonadaceae.
CCUACGGGCGGCAGCAGUGGGGAAUAUUGGACAAUGGGGGGAACCCUGAUCCAGCCAUGCCGCGUGUGUGAAGAAGGCCCUCGGGUUGUAAAGCACUUUCAGUGAGGAAGAACGCCUGGUGGUUAAUACCCAUCAGGAAAGAUAUCACUCACAGAAGAAGCACCGGCUAACUCCGUGCCAGCAGCCGCGGUAAUACGGAGGGUGCGAGCGUUAAUCGGAAUUACUGGGCGUAAAGCGCGCGUAGGUGGCUUGAUAAGCCGGUUGUGAAAGCCCCGGGCUCAACCUGGGAACGGCAUCCGGAACUGUCAAGCUAGAGUGCAGGAGAGGAAGGUAGAAUUCCCGGUGUAGCGGUGAAAUGCGUAGAGAUCGGGAGGAAUACCAGUGGCGAAGGCGGCCUUCUGGACUGACACUGACACUGAGGUGCGAAAGCGUGGGUAGCAAACAGGAUUAGAUACCCUGGUAGUC